This 300-nucleotide ribosomal RNA is filed under the name uncultured bacterium. Its description in RNAcentral is "bacterial SSU rRNA". It matches the Rfam family "Bacterial small subunit ribosomal RNA", at positions 29 to 334 of the family's 1533-position model. The record is from RNAcentral.
AAUGAACGCUGGCGGCGCGCUUAACACAUGCAAGUCGAGCGAGAAAGCUCCUUCGGGAGUGAGUACAGCGGCGGACGGGUGAGUAACACGUGAGAAUUUACCCUUUAGUGAGGAAUACCUUCGAGAAAUUGGAGUUAAUACCACAUACGUCCCUUCGGGGAGAAAGAUGGCCUCUUGCUGUCGCUAAAGGAUGAGCUUGCGGACUAUUAGCUUGUUGGUGAGGUAAAGGCUCACCAAGGCUGUGAUGGAUAGCCGACCUGAGAGGGUGAUCGGCCACACUGGAACUUAGACACGGUCCAG